UGGGGAAUUUUGGACAAUGGGCGAAAGCCUGAUCCAGCAAUGCCGCGUGUGUGAAGAAGGCCUUCGGGUUGUAAAGCACUUUUGUCCGGAAAGAAAUCCUUGGCUCUAAUACAGUCGGGGGAUGACGGUACCGGAAGAAUAAGCACCGGCUAACUACGUGCCAGCAGCCGCGGUAAUACGUAGGGUGCAAGCGUUAAUCGGAAUUACUGGGCGUAAAGCGUGCGCAGGCGGUUUGCUAAGACCGAUGCGAAAUCCCCGGGCUCAACCUGGGAACUGCAUUGGUGACUGGCAGGCUAGAGUAUGGCAGAGGGGGGUAGAAUUCCACGUGUAGCAGUGAAAUGCGUAGAGAUGUGGAGGAAUACCGAUGGCGAAGGCAGCCCCCUGGGCCAAUACUGACGUUCAUGCACGAAAGCGUGGGGGAGCAAACAGGAUUAGAUACCCUGGUAGUCCACGCCCUAACGAUGUCAACUAGUUGUGGGGAUUCAUUUCCUUAGUACGUAGCUACGCGUGAAGUUGACCGCCUGGGGAGUACGGUCGCAAGA
Molecule: ribosomal RNA, 542 nt
Filed under: uncultured bacterium
Lineage: Bacteria
Description: partial 16S ribosomal RNA
Rfam family: Bacterial small subunit ribosomal RNA
Source: RNAcentral